RNAcentral lists this unclassified non-coding RNA (250 nucleotides) under plant metagenome. Its description in RNAcentral is "partial contains small subunit ribosomal RNA, internal transcribed spacer 1, and 5.8S ribosomal RNA". The record is from RNAcentral.
GUAGGUGAACCUGCGGAAGGAUCAUUAUUGAAUACUGAAUCGGUUCUGAUGCUGGCUCUUCACUGGGCAUGUGCUCGUCCGUUCAUAUUUACCUUCUCUUGUGCACAUUUUGUAGUCCUUUGGAACAAGUGAAUUUCGCGCUGCUGUGAUUAACUUCGCGGUGGUUGCGGUUUGGGGGAUUGGGUGUAACGGCCCUUCCUCUGUUUAUGCGCGUUGCUGCGAUUUACUUCGUGGUGACUGCGGUUUGGGG